Molecule: ribosomal RNA, 833 nt
Filed under: uncultured archaeon
Lineage: Archaea
Description: bacterial SSU rRNA
Rfam family: Bacterial small subunit ribosomal RNA
Source: RNAcentral
ACAGCUCAGUAACACGUGGACAAUCUGCCCCCCGGCCCGGGAUAGCCCAGGGAAACCUGGAUUAAUACCGGAUGAGACGGGACCCGCGAUGGCGGGAUCCGGGAAAGGCGCUGCGGCGCCGCCGGGGGAUGAGUCUGCGUCCCAUUAGCUAGACGGCGGGGUAACGGCCCACCGUGGCGACGAUGGGUAGCCGGCCUGAGAGGGUGGACGGCCACAUUGGAACUGAGACACGGUCCAGACUCCUACGGGAGGCAGCAGCUAAGAAUCUUCCGCAAUGGGCGAAAGCCUGACGGAGCGACGCCGCGUGAACGAAGAAGGCCGUGAGGUUGUAAAGUUCUUUUCGGGAGGGGGAACAACCGUGGCAGGGAAUGGCCGCGGGAUGACGUGAAUCCCGGAAUAAGCCCCGGCUAACUACGUGCCAGCAGCCGCGGUAACACGUAGGGGGCGAGCGUUGUUCGGAAUCAUUGGGCGUAAAGGGCGUGCAGGCGGUCCUGCAAGUCCGGCGUGAAAGACCCCGGCCCAACCGGGGGGACGCGCUGGAAACUGCAGGGCUUGAGUACAGGAGGGGAUGCCGGAAUUCCAGGUGUAGGGGUGAAAUCUGUAGAUAUCUGGAAGAACACCAAUGGCGAAGGCAGGCAUCUGGCCAUGUACUGACGCUGAGACGCGAAGGUGCGGGGAGCAAACAGGUUUAGAUACCCUGGUAGUCCGCACAGUAAACGAUGUGCACCAGGUGGCGGGGGGUCGACCCCCGGUACCGUAGCUAACGCAUUAAGUGCACCGCCUGGGGAGUAUGCUCGCAAGGGUGAAACUCAAAGGAAUUGGCGGGGGAGCAC